This is a long non-coding RNA of Corvus moneduloides (New Caledonian crow), 3070 nucleotides long. Lineage: Eukaryota; Metazoa; Chordata; Aves; Passeriformes; Corvidae. The record is from Ensembl.
AUGGUUAAUGCAACACAGAAUCUAGAAAUAAAUGACAAUGAAUGUCACUUGCCUGGGUUACUGUACAGAAAUUUCAUUUUCCAAUGGUGUUUACUUCUGGCUAAAAAGGGAUUAAAACUCUGCUACCAGGGAUUACUGCAUCUCCAAAGGGAGGGAAACAACAGAAGUCACUCUCUUUUCAAGAACAAGCUGUUUGAUACAGUUUCACUGGUUUCUUCUAUCUAUCUAUGGCCAAGGAUGAUAAAGCACAUAACGGAUAGUUUACAUCAGAAAGUAGGAAUUAAAUAUUCCAUGCUCCUGGUUUUGCAUGGGAUUAUUCUUUGGGGAUUUCAGCUGAUUGCCUUUAAAUGUACAACUUAAGUUAUUUUAACUUUUAUGAGUGAUUUUAAAUACUUAUGUAACUAUGUCAGAGAGGAUAGAAAAUAGACCAAGAACUGGAGAAAGGCUUAUGCAUCUCUUAUGCUUACUUCCCAGCACAUAAUCAAAAAACCAACAGCUAUUACUUUUCCUUGGGGUUACGCCACUUUAGCUGGUUUAUUUUAAUCACUCAUAACCAGCUCAAAUUUCUUUUUCUCUUCUAAGUGGCAAGGUACUGCAAUUUUCAAUUGCACAAGAGAACAAAAUUAGAAUGUUUCAACAAUAAGCAAUAUUUAUCAAGUCACUUUUUCUUUUCCCUCUUUUCCAGACUGAACUUUGGUUCGCACCCAUAACAUUUAUUUAGCUUCAAAUACUGCCUGAUGUUAUCAUGUGUAGUGGGUUGAACCUGAGUUGAUGGACAGUCUUUUAGACUAAUGACGCUUCUCACAAUUUACAUAUUUAAACCAUGCAGAAAGGUGAGAAUUUAUUUUUGUUUCAGAACGAAAGGUGAGGGAAGGUGGGGGGGCCUCUGAGCCUCUGGGCCCCACCGAGCCGGGCCGGGGCACCCUUUCCCAAUGCCGCGGUAUGGACCCUGGGUCGCUGGGGGGGGAAUAUCCCAGAGCCACAGGCAGCUAAAACCAGCCAUGGACUGCCACACAGCUCAAACCAGCCAUGAACUGCCACACAGCUCAAACCAGCCAUGGGCUGCCACACAGCUAAACCCAUCCAGCAUGGCUUCUUGGGACUGGCGGGUCCUUCUCCUCUCCACGCGGAGCCAGCGGGAGCUGGCGGAGCCUCCUGUCUGCAGCCAGCACACUUCGUGCUGAACUGAAGAAGACACCACGCAGCCAGCAGCACAGAGGGACGAGGCUUUCUCCACCGUAAACCCCGAACAAGAACACCCUUCAACAUGGUGGCUUCAGAGUCAGAGAGAAAGAGAAAGUGAGUCACGUGGGACGGAGCUGGAAAUGGUGAUGAGAGAAAAGAGGGCGGUGCCGCAAUUCUCGUGUGUAGCUUAAAAAAAACUUCUUGCAUACUGUGGUAAGAAACUGUAAUACCACAAACUGUUUGUCUCUUUAAUCCAUUUGGAAUGCAUGGGGAGGGUGGAGAAUUCACGUGUGGCCCAUGAAGAUUGUGAAGAGUGCCUAUGCCAGGCUAUACAGAAGCAGUGAGAGGUUACUUUUUUUUUUAGAGAUUUAUGGUGAAGAAAGCCUUUGUGUUCAGGCAAAAAUAACUCAUCCUUAAAAAAGAUUAAUAACCCCAUGUGAUGGCCCAUGUUUUGCAGUGGGAAGGAACUGUGAGAUUUUGCAUGGGAGAGAUGUUUUACACCACAGCAGAUUGGUUCUUUCCGGGCGGGUCUGCUGUUGGUGGCAGUUUGGGAACCGCGUGAAGCAGAAGAAAACCCCUUUUUCCUUAAGCAUAAGAAAGAGACUUUUCAAGAGCUGCAACACUGACUAAAACCCCAUGUUCUUUUACUCUUUGUGCGAGUUGGGUAAAAGGAGGGAAGUGCUGGAAGAGGGGGGUGGUUUGCUUUAAUUUCUUAUUAUUUCUUUUCACUUUUAAUUCUGUUAGUAAUAAACUUUUUCUUUGUACAGCAACUGUUUAAGUUUGAACCUGUUUUGCCUUGCAGCUCUCUAGUUUUCCUCAAUAUUUUCUUAUUUUCCCCUUAUGAAAAUAACAGAUUUCGUGUGCUUGACACUUAGCUGCAUCAUCAUGCAAUACUAAGGCUUAUAAGAAUCUACACAUAUAAACAAGGAAUGAUACUGGAGAUUAUGCUUCCAUAAGAUGGCAUCUAAUGGCAUCUAAUAGCUAUUGUUUAAUUGUGAAGAAAGCAGCAAUCUUUGAAGCUGUUUUAUUACUUGAGAUUAUUAAUUUUGACCCUGUACCUGUAAUAUUUCCCUGCAGCCAUAUUUUCAGAUGUUUUUACAGAUUAUUAUAAGAGAAAAGAACUCAGUUUUUAGGGGGAAUGCCACCUUUGUCCAUUAAAGCCAAAAGGAAAAAAAAAUUAAUUAAAAAUCUCUCCCCAAAUUUCUCUCCUUGCCAAAAGGACAGCAUGACAUAGCAUGAAUAAAUUCUUAACUGAGCUAUAUUCUGCCAAUAAAAUUCCAAUUUCAUGGAGACUGAAGCAAAAAGACAUCAAAGCUAAGGUUGUAGCUCAUUUGUUUUGUCAAGAAGUGGUUGAAAGUGCUUAAGAUAUCUUUGAAUUGCAAUCAAUGUCCUUUUCUCUUACAAAUACACUGCUUUUUUUUUCUUGUGGUUACAACUAUUUGGUCAUUAAUUGAUUUUUUCAAAGCUUGGUUAAUUAUAAUUUGCCUGCAAAUGUAGCAAGUUUAGACUAAGAUAAAGAGAGGGUCUUCAGUUAAACAGGAGUAAACAGAAGAAAAAUGGCUUUUUGGAAAAGGGGUGUGCUUAUUAUCAGAAGAAGGGGUCUAGAAAGAGAAAAAGAAAUAAAGGAAAUUCCCAGUUCAUGUUUAAAAUUUUUAUGAGUCAGGCCUUCCUCUUCAGAGUUGGAACUCUGAGCAAACACACACACACACACACACACACACACACAGAGUCUCCUUAUUAAUCCAAUCUGGUUUUUCACCAAUUAGUGAUAGAAAGGACACUCUUAGGAGGAAAUCCACUUUUUUUGUUGUUCAAUUUUGCAAUUUGUUCUUCCCUAUUAAUUGUAUUUAGAGCAGAUAUAUACUUGUCCAUUCCCUUCUCAGGC